RNAcentral lists this ribosomal RNA (266 nucleotides) under uncultured bacterium. Its description in RNAcentral is "partial 16S ribosomal RNA". It matches the Rfam family "Bacterial small subunit ribosomal RNA", at positions 793 to 1055 of the family's 1533-position model. The record is from RNAcentral.
GUCCACGCCGUAAACGAUGAAUGCUAGCCGUCGGUGAGCUUGCUCUUCGGUGGCGCAGCUAACGCAAUAAGCAUUCCGCCUGGGGAGUACGGUCGCAAGACUAAAACUCAAAGGAAUUGACGGGGGCCCGCACAAGCGGUGGAGCAUGUGGUUCAAUUCGACGCAACGCGAAGAACCUUACCAGGCCUUGACAUCCCGAUUGCGGCCCCUUGAAAGAGGGGCUUUCAGUUCGGCUGGAUCGGUGACAGGUGCUGCAUGGCUGUCGU